CCGCUCCAUCCCACCAGACUCCCCUCCGCCGCCGCGACCUAUGGCUCCAUCCCCUGUCCCUGCCGCCGGAAGUGAAGGUGUCCUCAUCCACGCGCUCCCGGACCCCCAUCCCUGCUGCCGCCGGUGAAGGUAUCUUCGUCAUCCUCGCGCUCCCCCUCGCUGCUGUCACCGUCGUCCGUGCACACCGCCGUGCGGACCGUGCCCCUCAACCCCCUUCCAUCCCUGCCACCACCGGGGUCGCGGCUGCCAAUAGCUCCGACGCCGACCUCAGUACAUCCGCCGCCCUAACCCCCGCCCUCCACCACGUCCCCGGCCCUUGUUCCGGCCGUCGCCGCUCCUUUUCUCUCCUGCAAAGCCCCUUCUGCAGAUCCAUCAGUCGCAUGCCCGUUUCUGCAGAGCGGCAUCGUCUUGGCCAUAUCUCUCCAAGUGCUGCAGGCCAGAGGAAGUUGUCUUUGCUUGGUAAGUGGCGAUGAUGAGGAUCCCCAUUUACUAAGAAGUUUACUUGUUGGAUCUGUACUGAGAAGUCUAAUAAUGCAGAAAAGGGAUUGAGUGCUACUGAAGUUAGUGUUUACUUAGGUAUAUCUUGCUAUUAAUAUAUAUAUACUGCUGCCUUUUUAGUCCAUUUGUUUACUUACCGAUAUACUUUGCAUUUAUCAGUUUGUUCUACACUGGUUUCAGAUUUGGGUGGAUGGGUUGUUGUCAUUGUGAUGCAACAGAGGAAUCAGCGCUGGCCACGAGGAGAUUAGAGGCUUGAGAUGGAUGCUACGAUGGUGGUGGCAAAGUUAGGAGCUUGAGAUUUACAGGGACGAGGUGUAUGAUAGCACAGAUUAAUGUUCAAGUCUUCAUCAGCAGCACCUUGACAUGAAUCCUAAGAUCCAUCGGCAUUAUUUCUUGAUUAUUUUCUAGGGAAGAAUCCGAAGAUGAAUUGUUUCUUUAUUUUUUAACAAAUUUCAUGGCUUAGCAUCUUAUGUGUUCCAUCUAACUCUACCUGCAAUUUAUAUCUACUCCAAGUACACCACAUUCAGAAUUGAUAUACAGCCUACAGUUAGAUCAGUUCAGAUUUUGCCAUGACAAUAUUACCGGUAUUAUUCAUGAUUCCUACGUUGUGUAUAUCACUGUAGAAUACUACCUCUAUUCCAGAAUAUGGUUGUAUAUAGCAAAAUAGUUGUAUAAGUCUUUUAAAUUUAUGUUCUUCUGUACAUUGUCCUCUACUACCAUUAAUUUUCCCUUUUUUCAAAUUGAAAUUUGAAAAGAGCAUGAGUUUUGAUAGGAUUUUGUAUAUCCUUCAGUUGCUUGCUGUAACAUGUGCCUUCUGGUACAUUGAUGUUGAUAGAAGCAUACCAUUUUCCUAUAAUUUCUUCAUCACAAAGAUGUUCUAUUUGUUUAGUUGGCACCAACAUCCAGCUGAAUGUUUAUAGGAGGGUUAUUAGUAAAGCAAAUAUGUUCAUGAGGAAAUGUACCAGCAAAAAAAUCGAGCCAAAGUGUAAUUCAAAAGCUCUUAACAAAUUUUGCGUGUUCCUUAUGUUUUUAUUGUAAUUCUUAUUACUUUUAGCUGGCAUUGAUAUACGAAAGAAUAUCUUGUCGCUUUUUUGCCCUCUCAUCGACCAUUGUAUUUUUUUAGUCAUAUCAAUCUAUCUAAAAGAAAGAAUGCAACACCUUAUGUUUUUAUAUUUUUGGAAAUGUCUUAGGCGUGUUGUUUCAUAUAACUAUAUGCUAUGCUGCCUAUGCCUUUUCCCGUAACCUUAGUAUGUUCAUUGUUUUAUCUUUCAUAUCCUUCAUCUUAAACUGAAAAGUAUGAACCAUUGCAUUGUGCUAAACUUUAUCAGUGAAUUUCGUGUAACAAGCUGAAAUAGAAUUUUUCUCUGUUGCAAUUGGAAGCAUGUCACAUGAGUAUUGAGCUGCCAUUAUCUACAAAUUCUUUAUUUGUUGAUAUGAACAUUAGUUGCAACAUGAAUAAUCAAUGUUAGUCGACAAUGUUGCUUCAUGUGCAUGAGCAUAUGGUGUAUCUCUGACACCAUUCAUUUUGAACCACUAAAAUAAUAGAAGUGGUUUGAUUCGUAAGUUAUUUUACAGGUUUCUAUACAACACUUAUUUGUUUUGUAUUCGCUGCAACGUAUGAACUUGAUUGCUUUUCAAAAAUGUCGAACCACUAGAACCACUAAAAUAUGUACGCCCUAUUGCAAAACACGGCCCUUGUGCUAGAACAAACAUAACUAACUACAUCCUGUUCAUCCCUAUCCUGGCUAGAAGUAGUAGAGAGAUGAGAGUUGAAUCUUAUAGUAUGAUGCGUACUUUAUGAUUUUAUUGAUGGUGAGCCGAGUUAUCUAUAUUGAACAUAUUUUUCUUUUUUGCGGGAUGGUUGUUACAUGUUUGCGCAUUUUUUCAGAGCAAUUUGCAGUGGAAGAAGCAACCUCAUAUUGAUAAGAAGGCAAUGGUUAUUCUAUGAAGUAGCGGUUAUUGUUGUAGCUCAAGGAUGACAAGAAGGCAACUAAUGUGCCCAGGAGGUGUGCAGGUAUUACGACAUAACAGAUACAUUAAGAUUAUUGUUUCUCUCUCAUAAAUAUACAUAGAUCAUUUUGAGCCUCGACUAGAGUGCCAGAUUUCUGCCCGAACUUAUAACAUUACUAGAUAAACGUUCUGUAUCUUGAUGAUAAAACUGAACUCCACAUGAUGUAGUUUAUAAUUAAAAUAUGAAAAAACACACAACAUGAUCUGAAGCGCACAUACAUUGCUUAGGAGUUAACAUGCACUUUGGUGUUAUCACCUUGAUGGUCACAAUCUGAAGAUCACAUGGCAUAAACUGAACUUUACAUACUACAGCUUUUUGUCUAAAGUUGUACAUUUUAUUUCUACUUCAUCAGAUAACGUAGAAACACAAUUAUUUUCAAACUUGUGCUUCUCUUGGCUGCCAAUCUCCCUAUGAGCUUCAAAGAACUUGUGCUGACUACACUUUCUACCAAAUUCUUGUGGAGUAUUUUCAGGUAAUCAGCCACCUAGUACACAUAGAUGUGGUGACUUUGGAGUGUUAUAGAGCAUUUGGCUGUACCAGCCAACUCAAUUGUAAUCAUGAAGCUUAUGUGUGUUCUGGACCAUUUGGUGCUUAAGUGUUAUGGAUUAGAAAUCUUGUGCUCAUGGAUGUAACUCAAGUGUUUUGGACCAUUUAGCAAAUAGGGGUACUUUUAUGUGACUUGUGUUUCCUGGAGGGUUGUAAGAUAGACAAACUUUGCUAUGUCAAGAUUGACUUGUGUUUAAGCCUGUGAUCAAUAUAUAUGUAUUUUUGGUACCAGAUUAUCAAUGAUUGUGCAAUAUGUGUUCAUCUUGAUCCUGUUUGUGGAUAACAAUACAUCGUUG
This 3351-nucleotide long non-coding RNA is filed under the name Triticum aestivum (bread wheat). RNAcentral's name for it is "long non-coding RNA (TAES_LNC008667)". Lineage: Eukaryota; Viridiplantae; Streptophyta; Magnoliopsida; Poales; Poaceae. The record is from RNAcentral.